This 1624-nucleotide ribosomal RNA is filed under the name Escherichia coli 1-110-08_S1_C3. RNAcentral's name for it is "bacterial LSU rRNA". It matches the Rfam family "Bacterial large subunit ribosomal RNA", at positions 1 to 1669 of the family's 2925-position model. The record is from RNAcentral. Lineage: Bacteria; Pseudomonadati; Pseudomonadota; Gammaproteobacteria; Enterobacterales; Enterobacteriaceae.
UUAAGCGACUAAGCGUACACGGUGGAUGCCCUGGCAGUCAGAGGCGAUGAAGGACGUGCUAAUCUGCGAUAAGCGUCGGUAAGGUGAUAUGAACCGUUAUAACCGGCGAUUUCCGAAUGGGGAAACCCAGUGUGUUUCGACACACUAUCAUUAACUGAAUCCAUAGGUUAAUGAGGCGAACCGGGGGAACUGAAACAUCUAAGUACCCCGAGGAAAAGAAAUCAACCGAGAUUCCCCCAGUAGCGGCGAGCGAACGGGGAGCAGCCCAGAGCCUGAAUCAGUGUGUGUGUUAGUGGAAGCGUCUGGAAAGGCGCGCGAUACAGGGUGACAGCCCCGUACACAAAAAUGCACAUGCUGUGAGCUCGAUGAGUAGGGCGGGACACGUGGUAUCCUGUCUGAAUAUGGGGGGACCAUCCUCCAAGGCUAAAUACUCCUGACUGACCGAUAGUGAACCAGUACCGUGAGGGAAAGGCGAAAAGAACCCCGGCGAGGGGAGUGAAAAAGAACCUGAAACCGUGUACGUACAAGCAGUGGGAGCACGCUUAGGCGUGUGACUGCGUACCUUUUGUAUAAUGGGUCAGCGACUUAUAUUCUGUAGCAAGGUUAACCGAAUAGGGGAGCCGAAGGGAAACCGAGUCUUAACUGGGCGUUAAGUUGCAGGGUAUAGACCCGAAACCCGGUGAUCUAGCCAUGGGCAGGUUGAAGGUUGGGUAACACUAACUGGAGGACCGAACCGACUAAUGUUGAAAAAUUAGCGGAUGACUUGUGGCUGGGGGUGAAAGGCCAAUCAAACCGGGAGAUAGCUGGUUCUCCCCGAAAGCUAUUUAGGUAGCGCCUCGUGAAUUCAUCUCCGGGGGUAGAGCACUGUUUCGGCAAGGGGGUCAUCCCGACUUACCAACCCGAUGCAAACUGCGAAUACCGGAGAAUGUUAUCACGGGAGACACACGGCGGGUGCUAACGUCCGUCGUGAAGAGGGAAACAACCCAGACCGCCAGCUAAGGUCCCAAAGUCAUGGUUAAGUGGGAAACGAUGUGGGAAGGCCCAGACAGCCAGGAUGUUGGCUUAGAAGCAGCCAUCAUUUAAAGAAAGCGUAAUAGCUCACUGGUCGAGUCGGCCUGCGCGGAAGAUGUAACGGGGCUAAACCAUGCACCGAAGCUGCGGCAGCGACGCUUAUGCGUUGUUGGGUAGGGGAGCGUUCUGUAAGCCUGCGAAGGUGUGCUGUGAGGCAUGCUGGAGGUAUCAGAAGUGCGAAUGCUGACAUAAGUAACGAUAAAGCGGGUGAAAAGCCCGCUCGCCGGAAGACCAAGGGUUCCUGUCCAACGUUAAUCGGGGCAGGGUGAGUCGACCCCUAAGGCGAGGCCGAAAGGCGUAGUCGAUGGGAAACAGGUUAAUAUUCCUGUACUUGGUGUUACUGCGAAGGGGGGACGGAGAAGGCUAUGUUGGCCGGGCGACGGUUGUCCCGGUUUAAGCGUGUAGGCUGGUUUUCCAGGCAAAUCCGGAAAAUCAAGGCUGAGGCGUGAUGACGAGGCACUACGGUGCUGAAGCAACAAAUGCCCUGCUUCCAGGAAAAGCCUCUAAGCAUCAGGUAACAUCAAAUCGUACCCCAAACCGACACAGGUGGUCA